ACCUCGAAUCAGGUAGGACUACCCGCUGAACUUAAGCAUAUCAAUAAGCGGAGGAAAAGAAACCAACAGGGAUUGCCCUAGUAACGGCGAGUGAAGCGGCAACAGCUCAAAUUUGAAAUCUGGCCUUCGGGUCCGAGUUGUAAUUUGUAGAGGAUGCUUUUGGUGAGGUGCCUUCCGAGUUCCCUGGAACGGGACGCCAUAGAGGGUGAGAGCCCCGUCUGGUUGGACACCGAUCCUCUGUAAAGCUCCUUCAACGAGUCGAGUAGUUUGGGAAUGCUGCUCUAAAUGGGAGGUAUAUGUCUUCUAAAGCUAAAUAUUGGCCAGAGACCGAUAGCGCACAAGUAGAGUGAUCGAAAGAUGAAAAGCACUUUGAAAAGAGAGUUAAAAAGUACGUGAAAUUGUUGAAAGGGAAGCGCUCAUGACCAGACUUGGGCUUGGUUGAUCAUCCAGGGUUCUCCCUGGUGCACUCUUCCAGUUCAGGCCAGCAUCAGUUCGCUGCGGGGGAUAAAGGCUUUGGGAAUGUGGCUCCUUCGGGAGUGUUAUAGCCCAUUGUGUAAUACCCUGUGGUGGACUGAGGACCGCGCUU
RNAcentral lists this ribosomal RNA (586 nucleotides) under Neonectria sp. BESC196a. Its description in RNAcentral is "eukaryotic LSU rRNA". It matches the Rfam family "Eukaryotic large subunit ribosomal RNA", at positions 1 to 600 of the family's 3401-position model. The record is from RNAcentral. Lineage: Eukaryota; Fungi; Ascomycota; Sordariomycetes; Hypocreales; Nectriaceae.